This is a long non-coding RNA of Mizuhopecten yessoensis (Yesso scallop), 393 nucleotides long. RefSeq lists it as uncharacterized. The transcript is spliced from 3 exons. The record is from RefSeq and is a predicted model, not a curated record. NCBI's taxonomy places the organism in Eukaryota, Metazoa, Mollusca, Bivalvia, Pectinida, Pectinidae.
UGGACAUUUGGAACGGACUAUGAAUAUGGGGAUAGCGAGACACGAAUGAUCCUGUUUUGAAUGGAAAACUGGAUGUGUUCAUCGGAGAGAUCGCUAACUGGUAUGAGGAGAAUUGUGAUGUACACCCACCACCAACACCACCUCCAUCAACACCACCUCCACCACCUGCAAAACGGCAAGGAGGACAAAGCCCCCACCUGGACCAACACCACCCAGCAAAAGGGAAUUGAAGUUGCAGCGACUUCUGCAAAACUUGUUAAAGUCAAUUCAAUAGAAUUACACAAAAGGAAAUCCCUGACACCUGAUUGACCCGUGGACAAUUCGUUGAUGAAAGAAUUUAUGAGCUUUUGUUUAACUGUAACCUGGUAUUCACAAUGUUAUAUAUACUUACCC